This 586-nucleotide ribosomal RNA is filed under the name uncultured bacterium. RNAcentral describes it as "bacterial SSU rRNA". It matches the Rfam family "Bacterial small subunit ribosomal RNA", at positions 338 to 916 of the family's 1533-position model. The record is from RNAcentral.
CCUACGGGAGGCAGCAGUGGGGAAUUUUGGACAAUGGGCGCAAGCCUGAUCCAGCCAUGCCGCGUGCAGGAUGAAGGCCUUCGGGUUGUAAACUGCUUUUGUACGGAACGAAAAGACUCUGGUUAAUACCUGGGGUCCAUGACGGUACCGUAAGAAUAAGCACCGGCUAACUACGUGCCAGCAGCCGCGGUAAUACGUAGGGUGCGAGCGUUAAUCGGAAUUACUGGGCGUAAAGCGUGCGCAGGCGGUUAUAUAAGACAGAUGUGAAAUCCCCGGGCUCAACCUGGGAACUGCAUUUGUGACUGUAUAGCUAGAGUACGGCAGAGGGGGAUGGAAUUCCGCGUGUAGCAGUGAAAUGCGUAGAUAUGCGGAGGAACACCGAUGGCGAAGGCAAUCCCCUGGGCCUGUACUGACGCUCAUGCACGAAAGCGUGGGGAGCAAACAGGAUUAGAUACCCUGGUAGUCCACGCCCUAAACGAUGUCAACUGGUUGUUGGGUCUUCACUGACUCAAUAACGAAGCUAACGCGUGAAGUUGACCGCCUGGGGAAGUACGGCCGCAAGGUUGAAACUUAAAGGAAUUGACGG